UAGUCAUAUGCUUGUCUCAAAGAUUAAGCCAUGCAUGUCUAAGUAUAAACUGCUUAUACGGCGAAACUGCGAAUGGCUCAUUAAAUCAGUUAGAGUUUAUUUGAUGGUACCUUACUACUCGGAUAACCGUAGUAAAGCUACAGCUAAUACGUGCGCAGAUCCCGACUCACGAAGGGACGUAUUUAUUAGAUUCAAGACCGACCGUGCUUGCACGCUCUUGGUGAAUCAUGGUAACUUCACGAAUCGCACGGCCUCGUGCCGGCGAUGUUUCAUUCAACUUUCUGCCCUAUCAACUUUCGACGGUAGUAUAGAGGACUACCGUGGUAGUAACGGGUGACGGAGAAUUAGGGUUCGAUUCCGGAGAGGGAGCCUGAGAAACGGCUACCACAUCCAAGGAAGGCAGCAGGCGCGCAAAUUACCCAAUCCUGACACAGGGAGGUAGUGACAAAAAAUAUCAAUACUGGGCCUCAUGGUCCGGUAAUUGGAAUGAGUACAAUCUAAAUCCGUUAACGAGGAUCCAUUGGAGGGCAAGUCUGGUGCCAGCAGCCGCGGUAAUUCCAGCUCCAAUAGCGUAUAUUUAAGUUGUUGCAGUUAAAAAGCUCGUAGUUGGAUUUCGGGUGGGCUGCGCCGGUCUCCUAACGGUUGUACUGGCGACGCCUGCCUUGCUGCCGGGGACGGGCUCCUGCCUUCACUGUCGGGACCCGGAAUCGGCGACGUUACUUUGAGUAAAUUAGAGUGUUCAAAGCAAGCCUACGCUCUGAAUAUAAUAGCAUGGGAUAACACGACAGGACUCUGGCCUAUCGUGUUGGUCUGUAGGACCAGAGUAAUGAUUAAGAGGGACAGUCGGGGGCAUUCGUAUUCCGUUGUCAGAGGUGAAAUUCUUGGAUUUACGGAAGACGAACAUCUGCGAAAGCAUUUGCCAAGGAUGUUUUCAUUGAUCAAGAACGAAAGUUGGGGGCUCGAAGACGAUUAGAUACCGUCGUAGUCUCAACCAUAAACGAUGCCGACUAGGGAUUGGCGGAAGUUCUUUUGAUGACUCCGCCAGCACCUCAUGAGAAAUCAAAGUUUUUGGGUUCCGGGGGGAGUAUGGUCGCAAGGCUGAAACUUAAAGGAAUUGACGGAAGGGCACCACCAGGCGUGGAGCCUGCGGCUUAAUUUGACUCAACACGGGAAAACUUACCAGGUCCAGACAUGCGAAGGAUUGACAGAUUGAAAGCUCUUUCUUGAUUGUAUGGGUGAACACCACUGCCCAGCAGAGCGAGGCGAAAGCUUGCGCUAGUCGACCCUUGUCCGCUAUUGCGAGGGCAAGGUCAGGCAAGACCGUUGAAUUGCGGGAAACUCCUAAAGCUCGUGACACCAUGGCAUGCGGGUGACCGACGUGCCGGCCAGGGUAAUGACCUCGGACGGUAAAAGCUCACGAGAUGCACCAAUGGACAAUCCGCAGCCAAGCUUCCUCUGUUUUUAUAGAGGUAGAAGGUUCAGAGACUAAGUAGCGGUCGGUCUCUCUGCUUCCAAAGUACGAGAGGCUUAAGAUAUAGUCCGGCUCUAUCGAAAGAUAGCCACAAGAUGAAAGGCGCUAGCAGCGCCAGGAGCUUGUGGGAGCUGAUGGCCCCAGCGAGGGCCAUCUAGCUUGGAAUUCGUGGGUGGUGCAUGGCCGUUCUUAGUUGGUGGGUUGCCUUGUCAGGUUGAUUCCGGUAACGAACGAGACCUCAGCCUGCUAAAUAGGUUCGUCUGCUCCGGCAGUCGACUAUCUUCUUAGAGGGACUGUUGGCGUCUAGCCAAUGGAAGUAUGAGGCAAUAACAGGUCUGUGAUGCCCUUAGAUGUUCUGGGCCGCACGCGCGCUACACUGACACGUUCAACAAGUUCCUUGUCCGAAAGGUCUGGGUAAUCUUUGAAACCGUGUCGUGAUGGGGAUAGAACAUUGCAAUUAUUGUUCUUCAACGAGGAAUGCCUAGUAAGCGCGAGUCAUCAUCUCGCGUUGAUUACGUCCCUGCCCUUUGUACACACCGCCCGUCGCUCCUACCGAUUGAACGUGCUGGUGAAGAGUUAGGACUGGACUGUUGGCUAGGUUUCCUGGUCGGCAGUUCGGGAAUUUCUUUAAACCCUCCCGUUUAGAGGAAGGAGAAGUCGUAACAAGGUCUCCGUUAAAGAAUCAUUCUAUAUUCACCAGCGGACCAGAGAGCCCCCGGUGCGCGGCGCUCUAGUGGCCUCUCUGCCUGGUAACCCUGACGCGGAGAGGUCGCAACACUGUCAAAUUGCCGGAACGUCUUGCUAAGCCAACGGUACCACCGCGGCUGCGAAAGCAGCUGUCGGGCCUUCCCAAAGGAUGGUAACAAUCUGUUGGAUAGAGUCAAUCGGCAGCCAAGCCCUGAGGCAGAGUGCUGCGUGCAGUACAGCCCUGGGUGCAGUCCACAGACUAGACGGCAGUGGGUCUGGCUUCUACAAGGCCAGGCUUAAGAUAUAGUCGGCCCCUACUGGAAAGUAGUCUCCGAGAGGAAGAGGUAGGGCUCUGAGAGCUCGGAGAAGUGGACGGUAAUAGAACCGGGCGUGAGCUCUGGUUCGGCUGUUCUAUAACACACGUCUAUAAGAUUUGUUCUAUAAGAAUUGUUAUAUAAGACAUUCUCUUAUAGAAGAUCUUGUGUACAGGUUUCUUAUACAACAGCCCGUCCUACUGGAUCAUGCGAGGUGAACCUGCGGAGGGAUCAUUGAAACCAUCAUGUCCACUCGCGAACCACAACCCAGUACGCCUGGCGUAGCCCCCGCGCUGCGUCCUCCUCCGAGUGGGAACUCGGUUGAGGAGGGAGUGCGCCACCUUCGGGUGUCUGCCUCCCUUAGGCCAGAUCCAUUUUUCUCACCAGACCAAACCAAUUGACUGAAGAUUGACGUGCGUGAGGCCUCCUCACCGCGACUAACAGAGAUAACUCUCAACAACGGAUAUCUUGGCUCUCGCAACGAUGAAGAACGCAGCGAAAUGCGAUACGUAGUGUGAAUUGCAGAAUUCCGUGAAUCAUCGAAUCUUUGAACGCAUAUUGCGGUCGAGCCUCGGUUCGACCAUGUCUGCCUCAGCGUCGGAGUAAACCCUCACCCCACCAGGUGUCAACCUGGCGGAGUGGACCUGACUUCCCGAGCGGCCUGCCCCGUCAGCGGCGCUCGGCUAGUUGAAAUGAAGAGGACGACGCGCGGGCCUGUAUGGCACCGGCUAGGUAGGUAGCUCGACUACUCCUGCCGAAGCCUUGGGCGCGACGCGCGUCCCGCAGGAAACCUACUCUCUUCUCGACCUGAGCUCAGGCAAGG
RNAcentral lists this ribosomal RNA (3295 nucleotides) under Pseudendoclonium commune. RNAcentral's name for it is "SSU rRNA". The stretch from base 1 to 2159 matches the Rfam family "Eukaryotic small subunit ribosomal RNA". Lineage: Eukaryota; Viridiplantae; Chlorophyta; Ulvophyceae; Ulvales; Kornmanniaceae. The record is from RNAcentral.